RNAcentral lists this ribosomal RNA (429 nucleotides) under Chloroflexota bacterium. RNAcentral describes it as "Chloroflexi bacterium partial 16S ribosomal RNA". It matches the Rfam family "Bacterial small subunit ribosomal RNA", at positions 355 to 776 of the family's 1533-position model. Lineage: Bacteria; Bacillati; Chloroflexota. The record is from RNAcentral.
UAGGGAAUCUUCGGCAAUGGACGAAAGUCUGACCGAGCAACGCCGCGUGAGUGAAGAAGGUUUUCGGAUCGUAAAACUCUGUUGUUAGAGAAGAACAAGGACGUUAGUAACUGAACGUCCCCUGACGGUAUCUAACCAGAAAGCCACGGCUAACUACGUGCCAGCAGCCGCGGUAAUACGUAGGUGGCAAGCGUUGUCCGGAUUUAUUGGGCGUAAAGCGAGCGCAGGCGGUUUCUUAAGUCUGAUGUGAAAGCCCCCGGCUCAACCGGGGAGGGUCAUUGGAAACUGGGAGGCUUGAGUGCAGAAGAGGAGAGUGGAAUUCCAUGUGUAGCGGUGAAAUGCGUAGAUAUAUGGAGGAACACCAGUGGCGAAGGCGGCUCUCUGGUCUGUAACUGACGCUCAGGUGCGAAAGCGUGGGGAGCAAACAGG